GUUAGAAUAGUGCAGUUGGUUAGAGCAUGUGGCUGUUAACCACAAGGUCAGAGUUUCAAACCCUCUUUCUAGCA
RNAcentral lists this transfer RNA (74 nucleotides) under Ipomoea nil (Japanese morning glory). It matches the Rfam family "tRNA". Rfam says of the family: Transfer RNA (tRNA) molecules are approximately 80 nucleotides in length. Their secondary structure includes four short double-helical elements and three loops (D, anti-codon, and T loops). The record is from Rfam by way of RNAcentral. Lineage: Eukaryota; Viridiplantae; Streptophyta; Magnoliopsida; Solanales; Convolvulaceae.